GAUGAACGCUGGCGGCGUGCCUAAUACAUGCAAGUCGAGCGAACAGACGAGGAGCUUGCUCCUCUGAUGUUAGCGGCGGACGGGUGAGUAACACGUGGAUAACCUACCUAUAAGACUGGGAUAACUUCGGGAAACCGGAGCUAAUACCGGAUAACAUGUUGAACCGCAUGGUUCAACAGUGAAAGACGGUCUUGCUGUCACUUAUAGAUGGAUCCGCGCCGCAUUAGCUAGUUGGUAAGGUAACGGCUUACCAAGGCAACGAUGCGUAGCCGACCUGAGAGGGGGAUCGGCCACACUGGAACGGAGACGCGGUCCAGGGGCCUACGGGAGGCAGCAGUAGGGAAUCGUCCGCAAUGGGCGAAAGCCUGACGGAGCAACGCCGCGUGAGUGAAGAAGGUGUUCGGAUCGGAAUACUCUGUUAGUAGGGAAGAACAAAUGUGUAAGUAGCUAUGCACGUCUUGACGGUAACGGAUCAGAAAGCCACGGCUAACUACGUG
This 497-nucleotide ribosomal RNA is filed under the name uncultured bacterium. Its description in RNAcentral is "partial 16S ribosomal RNA". It matches the Rfam family "Bacterial small subunit ribosomal RNA", at positions 28 to 507 of the family's 1533-position model. The record is from RNAcentral.